RNAcentral lists this ribosomal RNA (253 nucleotides) under uncultured bacterium. Its description in RNAcentral is "partial 16S ribosomal RNA". It matches the Rfam family "Bacterial small subunit ribosomal RNA", at positions 524 to 776 of the family's 1533-position model. The record is from RNAcentral.
UACGUAGGGAGCAAGCGUUGUCCGGAAUCAUUGGGCGUAAAGCGCGCGUAGGUGGCCUCAUAAGUCCGCUGUGAAAGUCAAAGGCUCAACCUUUGAAAGCCGGUGGAUACUGUGAGGCUAGAGUACGGAAGAGGCGAGUGGAAUUCCUGGUGUAGCGGUGGAAUGCGCAGAUAUCAGGAGGAACACCAAUAGCGAAGGCAGCUCGCUGGGACGUUACUGACACUGAGGCGCGAGAGCGUGGGGAGCGAACAGG